This 1296-nucleotide long non-coding RNA is filed under the name Dromaius novaehollandiae (emu). Its description in RNAcentral is "lncRNA (ENSDNVG00000014632.1)". The record is from RNAcentral. Lineage: Eukaryota; Metazoa; Chordata; Aves; Casuariiformes; Dromaiidae.
AUGGGGAGCGAUUUCAGCCAACARAUCUGUUGUGUGACUUGUUGGAGAUGCAAGAAGCAGGAGGCAGAGGAAGCAUUUGAAGAGACCAGUGAGACCAAGCCGAUCUUGCAGACCUUGGGGGAAACAUCGAUAUGCGUUGACAAGCAGCCUCCCACGCGGGUCCCGGAAGCCUCCGAAAGAGGCCCUGAGGAGGUGGAGUCACUGUGCUGGGACCACAGGCUGCUGGCUGGCAUCGCAAAGGACAGYGGAGAGACCUGCCCUGAUGCAGAACCUGUGGGAAUGACUGAGGGUCAGAAGGCAGCCUGGGACUUCGCAGAUUUCUUUGUGGCCUCUGCAGUUAUGGASACCAAAGGAGAAGCUGAAGUCUUAACCCAAUUAGAAAACCAGCAAAAAAGGGAGAAAGCGGGUAACACAGAAGAGAUGAAAACUAUUCCUCAGGCUUCUGAGGCCCAGCCUGUUUUACACACAGCUCAGGAUGUUAAGCUUAUUGCAGAUAAAGGACAAUUUGGUGAACAGGCUGAGRCUGGCAGUGAGGAUGCCCCAUGUGCUGAAAUAACUCUCCAAGAAACAGAUAUUCCCAAGCUGAAGCAGACCACUGGUGAGACUGCAGCUGGCCCUGGCUGUGAGAUCCAGCCUCCUGCAGAGACUGGUGAGAGUCUGAUGGGAAGGGACCUGUCACUGUAUGCUGUGCUCACGGCAGAGGAGACUGGGACCUACCCUCCUGCUGAGCAUACAGAAGAGACAGAGGGGGCUAAGCCUGCUGAAACAAGUCCUCAAUCUGCUGAGAGGGCCAAGCUCAUGUGUCUCUCUGAGACAGCAUCUCUACCUACUGUGCAGGCUACACAGAAGGCUAAGGAGACGGCGGAUCCUUCAGAAGUCGUACCGAAAGAUAUGUCUGAAAUGCAAUUUACUUCUGCGAUCUCGUAUGAGUGCCUGUAUACAGGAGGGAAAUUUCUAGAGCCAGCAAACCAGCUGCUUGACUUCUCAUGGCAAGAGAUCCAGCCUAGUGUGCUGACUGUGCAGGAGGUGCGGAGCCACUGCAGUACAGAGCCUGCUGAAGUAGGGGAGGUGGUUGGUCCUUCAGGUGACCAAGACAGAGUCGUCUGUGAUCUGGUGGAAGAUGAAGAGGUGACGGAAUGUGAUCCAAAAACUCCAGCAGCUGAGGCAGGGCAGCAGCAGAGAGUCAUGCAGCAAAUCACAGAUGAACCAUUACCUCGUACGGAGAUCGCUGUGGAAGAGGAAGCAGAGUGCCCGGAUGUGGCACCCUUGCUCUCUGAGGUACGUGGAGUGCAGWAA